UUUUAUCCUGCUAGAAGUACCGGGCACGUAUAUUGCAUUGUGUCUUGGGGAUCUCCAUGGGGGAAGGAAAGAGGAGGCCAAGGGGAUCUGGUGUCACAACCAGAUCUCAGUUGAGUAAGAUCCUACACUGCUAAACAGAAAGACGUAAAGAGGCUGGAGAGGACCUGUGGUGUGGAGAAGACUGGAAGCUGUGGCACCAGGGAUUUCCUGAACAUCAAGUACCCGGCCAGAGCUUUGCCAUAGGAGAAACAGCAGCUGAAGAUUUCGGUAAGGAAACAUAACAAGGAGAACAAAAUAAGAGUCUGAGAAAAGUGAGCAGAAGAAAAUAUUUCUCAGCUACAAAAUACUCAGUAACAUUCCCAAUCAACACUGGCUCAGUGCAGCCCAAAAUCCUGUGACAUUGGGAAGAGACAGCUCGGAGAUUCCCUAGUCAUUGACUGGGCUUUUAAAUUUAUUCUUUGCAGCCAGACAGUGCUCCUGUUGCCGGCUUGCGGGCACAACAGCCAACUCUCCCCCCCCGCCAAUCAAAGGGGCGCUGCCGAAGCGGGGCUGCUCCUGCAACAAAAGUGUAGGAAGCUCAUGGCUGCAGAGUAAUGCAGACAAAGCACGAGUGAGAGGGAGACAAAAGGGAUGGAGUCCCAGAAGAUGUGAUCCACCCCGUUAAAGGAACCGUCUGUAGCCUCUGCAGCUGUGUUUAUGCUGCCUCACGCAAUAGGCACCAGCCUCUCAUCCCCCCAGGAGAUUUUUACAGCAUUAAUUCACUCUGCAUAAAACCCAGCCUGCAAGGCUCUUCUUCAGCAGCACCCUUUUCAUCCCUCCAGCUCCCCCUGUUCCCAAGAGCCCUGUCCGCAGGGGCUGCACCCCUCCGGCUGACCUGCCAGUGCUCUCGACCAAAUGUCACCUGUACCCAAUGAAGCAGACACCGAAGUGCCACGAAUGGAUCCCAGGAUUCUUAUUUUCCUUCUCUACGUGAUGAUCCUUCAUGAGCUGGUGAGUGGCUGGAUGGAGUACCAGAAGCAGAUAGCCAAGCCGAAGAAGCAGGCGGGUCCAGUUUGGUCUUCUAGCAACACCACCAGAUCAAACCACUCCAGCUUCUCCAGGCCUCUGGUCCACUCUGUGCGCAGGGAGAGGUACAGGGACUGGAGGAAACCAGGGAGGAUCAUCCGGAAAGCGUGAGGAUGAAUCUGUUGGGGAGCGUGGGGAGAGAUUACUGAGCCAGAGGCAACCAUCCCUCAUAAGGUCUGCACCAACUUACCACCUCUCAGCAGCAGCCGGCAUGAGAGCAUCCUCCAGGCACCGUGAUCUGCAACCUGCAGCUCUCUCCUUUGCACUGAGCCUGGCAUGACCGAGAAGGAACGAGCUCCUUCCUCCUGGGAACCCGUCCCUGCGUGGUGAGGAGCCAGGGUGGAGACACCUCAGCCAACAGCGGGAUCGCCGGAGGUGGGAUGAGGCUUUUGCCACCCAACAGAGUGAAGUGACUUUUGUUUCUUCGUUCCAAAGGGUCUGGUAGAUGGAGAGUAGAUUUUUGGGGGGAAGAAUUAGAUUUGCUCCUGCAUGGGCAACCCUGGGAAGCCUCCAAAUGGUUUCAGUCUCCUCUCCUUCCACCUCAGGGCUGCGUGGUUGGUAAGCAGCGUUUCCCAAAGUGACUGGAAAGUCAUUGGUGUUCACUUUGCCGCCACUCCCAGGAGAACUUGCCUCCACUGGGGCACCCAGAAGUCAUGACACUUUGGAAAUGCUGGCUCCGCGUUAAGUCUCAUUCACUGGGAGUUGGUAAUUUUUUUUCUGCUUUUUUUCACCCUUGUUAAAUGAGGUACUCUGGGGUGGAAGGGGAAAGAGCCCUGAACCAGUGACUCAGAAUUAUGCCGCCAAUUGCAAUUUACUGCAAUGACCUUGUAAUUAGAUUUCUUCAGAGCAUUCCCAGCAGUCGAACUAAAUGUAAGAGCAACUUUCUAAUCAGCAGAUAGAUGGGAAAGGAAUACAAUAUUGCUCUUUUAUUAGAGUCUGUAAUUUAGGCAUAAAAUUAUAUUUUUAGAGGCAAAAGUCACUUGUCGAAUCCUGGCACCACACAUAGCAGUUGUAUGCAGGCUGGGAAUUGCUGAGCACCGGAGGGAUUCUGACACUGAGCUCCUAACAGCAAAUGUCCAUGGCCGAACUGCCUGCCUUAUUUGCUGAACAUAAUGUUUGGCUCGAACGCAGCCUGUUUUUCUCAUUGCCAACCAUUUAUAAACCUGACUCAGGCUCACAGAUGCAUUAUCCAGAAGUAGAUAGGGAAGGGAGUUGGAAUAGAUUAUGCAUUCAUUAUCCAGAAGUAGCCACCAGAUACAUUUGCACAUUUGUCUGCUGCUCAGUUGUUUGCAAAUUGUUCCUGUCAGUUGACACUGUGUUUGUUCAGUCACCCACGGCAGGAGUCACCUGGCCCAAGGUAGAGCUCUGCACCUGAGCGAGACAUCCAGACCCCUGUGUGGCAAAGAGGGGCACAUGAGGGGCUGUGAGGCAUCUCCUCCAAAGUUAAACAUCAAAAGAAAGCUGGCUGAACGUGCUCUUGAAGUGUCCAAGCAGGCAGGCUGGAUAAGUGACUCGGAUGUAGACCUCUACUGUUAGGGGAGAUGAAGUCCAUGCCUUGUGUUCAGAUGAUUUAAAAAAGGAGAUAGAAGUAGCAGUUAACAUUUUCUGCACAUUUCAAAGCAUAAACUCUCUGCAAAGAUGUGCCUCAGCUCUGUGACACUGUGGCUAUUUCCUGAGGCGUCCACUGCCUAUCCCAGUACAUGCAGGUACAUCCAAAAGUAACAGAGCAACAAAUGGAGAAGGUGUCAGGAGGAAAAAUAUUCAGAAAGUGUUUCUGGGUGGUGGGGAAAUAUGCUUUCCCAGAGUUGAGCCUGCCCUGGUCUUACAGUGGAUGUGCAGCUGCAGAUAUUCUCUCUACUCUUCUGCUACAGUAAGUGUGAACUUUCUGGGAGCACUUGCUAUGCAAAAAGUGUUUAAAUUAAUUACUGAAGUGGUGCACUGCACAAUCUGGGCUCCCAGUCUCAGUGGGACAGGCACACCUGAGCAGGGACAGAUGGACCUGAAUGGGGCAGGCAGAUGUCCUGACUGCUGCACCCCUAAGGAAUGGUGAAGGGACAGGAGUGUCUUGCUCUGCUGAUCACAUGCUGGAUUUAUCCUUGUAAAUAUUAUGUUUACUUCCAAUAAACUGUUUUACAUA
Tyto alba (common barn owl) is the source of this 3202-nucleotide long non-coding RNA. RefSeq lists it as uncharacterized. The record is from RefSeq and is a predicted model, not a curated record. The transcript is spliced from 2 exons. NCBI's taxonomy places the organism in Eukaryota, Metazoa, Chordata, Aves, Strigiformes, Tytonidae.